GAGACCCUGAAAGGAAGCACUAAAAAAAUGAAGACAGAGGAAUACCAGGAGAGAAAGGAGGUCCAGUUAGACCUAAAGGUGGGCAAGAAGAAGAAGAAGAGGAGUUUGGAUGCUUAAUCUCUGCUGAGACCCAGUGCCUUGCACUGAAGGUGCUCAGGAAAUACUUUCUGAAUGAUAAGAAGCCCCUGCCAUCUGCUAAACUGGAUCUAUGAUGACAGAAGCCGAGGAAUGUGAGGUUCAUCUAGAGAGUUCUUGUGAAUUUUCCAAGGGAGGCACCUGUUGAACUCAGGCAUCGGCAUGUGAAUUGAUUUGGUCAAUGAAAUGUGAGAGAAGUGACAUCCACUUUGAGACAGGCAGUUUCCGAGUUGCCCUGACAGCCACUCUCCAUACUGCUGCCAGAAGAACCUUGAAAUAUCGCUCUUUUUAAU
RNAcentral lists this long non-coding RNA (428 nucleotides) under Pan troglodytes (chimpanzee). RNAcentral's name for it is "lincRNA". The record is from RNAcentral. Lineage: Eukaryota; Metazoa; Chordata; Mammalia; Primates; Hominidae.